This 423-nucleotide ribosomal RNA is filed under the name Homo sapiens (human). RNAcentral describes it as "eukaryotic LSU rRNA". It matches the Rfam family "Eukaryotic large subunit ribosomal RNA", at positions 2141 to 2510 of the family's 3401-position model. Lineage: Eukaryota; Metazoa; Chordata; Mammalia; Primates; Hominidae. The record is from RNAcentral.
UUAAGAAAAUAAAAAGACAUCGCGAAGGCCCACGGCGGGUGUUGACGUGAUGUGAUUUCUGCCCAGUGCUCUGAAUGUCAAACUGAAGAAAUUCAGUGAAAUGCGGGUAAACGGCGGGAGUAACUAUGACUCUCUUAAGGUAGCUAAAUGCCUUGUCAUCUAAUUAGUGACGCGCAUGAAUGGAUGAACGGGAUUCCCACUGUCACUACCUACUAUCCAGCAAAACCACAGCCAAGGGAACGGGCUUGGUGGAAUCAGCGGGGAAAGAAGACCCUGUUGAGUUUGACUCUAGUCUGGCAUGGUGAAGAGACACGAGAGGUGUAGAAUAAGUGGGAGGCCCCCAGCGCCCCCCCAUCCCCGCGAGGGGGCAGGGCGGGGUCCGUCGGCCUUGCGGGCCGCCGGUGAACUACCACUACUCUGAUC